ACACGACUACAUUAGAUACCCCCGUAGUCCUAGCCGUAAACGAUACUCGCUAGGUGUCGGCCACGGUGCGACCGUUGUCGGUGCCGUAGGGAAGCCGUGAAGCGAGCCACCUGGGAAGUACGGCCGCAAGGCUGAAACUUAAAGGAAUUGGCGGGGGAGCACCACAACGGGUGGAGCUUGUGGUUUAAUUGGAUUCAACGCCGGAAAUCUUACCGGGACCGACAGCAACAUGAAGGCCAGGCUGAAGACUUUGCCGGAUUAGCUG
Molecule: ribosomal RNA, 265 nt
Filed under: uncultured archaeon
Lineage: Archaea
Description: partial 16S ribosomal RNA
Rfam family: Archaeal small subunit ribosomal RNA
Source: RNAcentral